AAUCUUGCGACCGUACUCCCCAGGCGGUGUGCUUAUCGCGUUAGCUGCGCCACCGAGAAACUAGGUUUCCCAACGGCUAGCACACAUCGUUUACGGCGUGGACUACCAGGGUAUCUAAUCCUGUUUGCUCCCCACGCUUUCGCGCCUCAGCGUCAGUACCGGACCAGAUGGCCGCCUUCGCCACUGGUGUUCUUCCCAAUAUCUACGAAUUUCACCUCUACACUGGGAAUUCCGCCAUCCUCUUCCGGACUCUAGACAACUAGUUUCAAAGGCAGUUCCCAGGUUGAGCCCAGGCCUUUCACCUCUGACUUAGUCGCCCGCCUACGCGCCCUUUACGCCCAGUAAUUCCGAACAACGCUUGCCCCCUCCGUAUCACCGCGGCUGCUGGCACGGAGUUAGCCGGGGCUUCUUCUGCGGGUACCGUCAUCAUCUUCCCCGCCGAAAGCGCUUUACAACCCUGAGGCCUUCUUCACGCACGCGGCAUGGCUGGAUCAGGGUUUCCCCCAUUGUCCAAUAUUCCCCA
Molecule: ribosomal RNA, 523 nt
Filed under: uncultured bacterium
Lineage: Bacteria
Description: partial 16S ribosomal RNA
Source: RNAcentral